GACGAACGCUGGCGGCGUGCCUAAUACAUGCAAGUUGAGCGCUGAAGGUUGGUACUUGUACCAACUGGAUGAGCAGCGAACGGGUGAGUAACGCGUGGGGAAUCUGCCUUUGAGCGGGGGACAACAUUUGGAAACGAAUGCUAAUACCGCAUAAAAACUUUAAACACAAGUUUUAAGUUUGAAAGAUGCAAUUGCCUCACUCAAAGAUGAUCCCGCGUUGUAUUAGCUAGGUGGUGAGGUAAAGGCCCACCAAGGCGAAGAUACAUAGCCGAGCUGAGAGGGUGAUCGGCCACAUUGGGACUGAGACACGGCCCAAGAUCCUACGGGAGGCAGCAGUAGGGAAUCUUCGGCAAUGGACGGAAGGCUGACCGAGCAACGCCGGGGGAGUGAAGAAAGUUUUCGGAUCGUAAAACUCUGUUGGUAGAGAAGAAAGUUGGUGAGAGUGGAAAGCUCAUCAAGUGACGGUAACUACACAGAAAGGGACGGCUAACUACGUG
This 497-nucleotide ribosomal RNA is filed under the name uncultured bacterium. RNAcentral describes it as "partial 16S ribosomal RNA". It matches the Rfam family "Bacterial small subunit ribosomal RNA", at positions 28 to 507 of the family's 1533-position model. The record is from RNAcentral.